CUCCUCGCGGUCCCCCGUCUGUGCGGCACGUCAGACGUGUGACUGACUGAGUUUGGACUACUGGAUCCCGCGGACGAAUGCAAGACUUCUAUAGCUUUAAUACAUGUGGUGCGAGUGCGCUUAGGAAAUGGGAAGAUAUCUUGUAUUGUGUGCAGUGUUGUGUUGUGCGUGUGUCUACGUCUUCGAGCUGCCCAUAGAACUCUGGACGUGUGACUGGAUGAGUCUGGACGUUGGAUCCCAUGGACGGAUCCAAGACUUAGCUUUAAGACAUGUGAUGCAA
Molecule: long non-coding RNA, 280 nt
Organism: Ornithodoros turicata
Lineage: Eukaryota; Metazoa; Arthropoda; Arachnida; Ixodida; Argasidae
Exons: 3
Source: RefSeq, a predicted model, not a curated record